Molecule: small RNA, 122 nt
Filed under: Marmota monax (woodchuck)
Lineage: Eukaryota; Metazoa; Chordata; Mammalia; Rodentia; Sciuridae
Source: RNAcentral
GCCAGGCACAGUGGUGCAUGCCUGUAAUCCCAGCGGCUUGGGAGGCUGAGACAGGAGGAUCACGAGUUCAAAGCCAGCCUCAGCGGCAAGGUGCAAAGCAACUUAGUGAGACCCUGUCUCUA